RNAcentral lists this ribosomal RNA (480 nucleotides) under Triticum aestivum (bread wheat). RNAcentral describes it as "partial small subunit ribosomal RNA". The record is from RNAcentral. Lineage: Eukaryota; Viridiplantae; Streptophyta; Magnoliopsida; Poales; Poaceae.
CCGCUCUCGCAGGUAGCUCGCGUUGGCGAAGAAGAUGGGCGCGUCGACCUGCAGCACCAGCACUCCGGGCACGCUCUCCGCCAUGGCGUACUGGUCCAUCCUUCUGUACAUGGUCGAGUUGGGCAUCUUGCCGAGCGCCGUCGUCCUCGGCCGCGCCACGAACAGCAGGAUCCGGACAACCGAUAUCCCGACCUGAAAGACACACACAAUUCCGAUCCCGAUGUUGUCCAAGACGACGCCGAGGCAGGCGCCGAGGCAGGCGCAGAAGUCGAGCUUGUCCACCUUCCACAGGCGAACGGCGGCGGGGAAGUCAAAAACGCCCAGCAUGGCCGAGAUGAUGAUGGCCGACAGCACCACCAGCGGGGUGUAGUGGAACAGCGGCGUCAGGAAGAGGAGCGUCACGGCCACCGCCACCGCCAUCACCGCGUUGGACAUGGCGGUCUUGCAGCCGGCGUUGACGUUCACGGCGGAGCGCGAGAA